Non-coding RNA from Podarcis lilfordi (Lilford's wall lizard), 97 nucleotides. NCBI's taxonomy places the organism in Eukaryota, Metazoa, Chordata, Lepidosauria, Squamata, Lacertidae. The record is from the annotation of a GenBank genome assembly.
CUAGUCCUUCAUACCUUCAAAGUCUGUCUCCAGCUUUGAAGUAAGGGAACAAACCAACCUGAAGUUGGAGACAGACUUUGAGGGUAUGAAGGGCUGG